This 1436-nucleotide unclassified non-coding RNA is filed under the name Hevea brasiliensis (rubber tree). Lineage: Eukaryota; Viridiplantae; Streptophyta; Magnoliopsida; Malpighiales; Euphorbiaceae. The record is from RNAcentral.
UUGCAGAUGAAACAGCAUGGCUUCAGUCUGGUGCUACACUCGGUGAGCUUUACUAUGCUAUUGGCAAGGAAAGUAGAGUUCAUGCAUUCCCAGCAGGGUUAUGCCCUACUGUUGGAGUUGGUGGGCAUUUCAGUGGAGGGGGGUUUGGUACCUUGCUGAGGAAAUAUGGACUUGCAGCCGAUAAUGUCAUCGAUGCUUUCUUGAUCGAUGUUAAUGGAAGAAUUCUUGAUAGAGAAGCAAUGGGAGAAGAGUUGUUUUGGGCUAUUAGAGGAGGUGGUGGAGCAAGUUUUGGAGUCAUUCUUUCCUGGAAGAUCAAGCUGGUUAAAGUUCCACCAACGGUGACUGUUUUCACUGUUUCGAAAACUAUAGAACAAGGUGCUACGAAGCUUGUCCAUAGGUGGCAAUACAUUGCAGACAAGCUUCAUGAAGAUCUCUUUAUCAGAAUCAUCAUUCAAAAUGUUGGUGGUGAUGCAGGUACAAAUCUAAAGACAGUCCAAGCUUCCUUUAAUUCACUGUUUCUUGGAGGAAUUGACAGGCUAAUACCGCUGAUGAAAAAGAGUUUCCCUGAAUUGGGAUUGAAAGCCGGUGAUUGCACAGAAAUGGCUUGGAUUGAAUCUACCCUAUACUUCGCAGGAUUCCCCAGAGGAAGCCCCCUGGAGGUCUUACUUGACAAGACUCAACUAUACAAAGCCAACUUCAAAGCAAAAUCUGACUAUGUAACAGAACCUAUACCCGAAGGUGUAUUCAGAGGUAUAUGGAAGAGAUUCUUGGAGGAAGAGCUAGUGUUCAUGAUAAUGGAUCCUUAUGGUGGAAAAAUGAAUGAUAUAUUAGAAUCAGAAAUUCCAUUUCCCCACAGGAAAGGCAACUUGUACAACAUACAAUACCUGGUGAAGUGGGAAGUGAAUGGAGUUGGGAAAUCAAACAAGCAUGUACGCUGGAUCAGGAUGCUUCACAGGUAUAUGACGCCAUAUGCUUCCAAGUCUCCAAGAUCUGCCUAUCUUAACUAUAGGGACCUUGACUUGGGGAGUAACAAGGAUAUCAACACAAGCUACUUGGAGGCUAGUGUUUGGGGUGUGAAGUACUUUAAGGGCAAUUUCAAGAGGUUGGUCCAAGUGAAAAGCAAAAUUGAUCCUCACAAUUUCUUCAGAAAUGAACAGAGUAUUCCUUCCCUUCAUGAAUAAGGGAAAUGGAAAAACAAACUCAUAUGCUGGAGUAAAGCUUUCUCCUGUAAGGUCCCUGCAUAAUUAUGAGGAAAGUUUUCUUUUCCCUCUCCAGGUUUUUCUUCUAAACUGAAUUCAACAUGAAGAACACAGUUAACAAGCAAAAAAACAAAACAGUAUGAAGGGCAGAUGGACAUUGAGUUGAGAUGGUAUUUUGUUUUUAAAGGAUAAAUCACAAAAAUUCAAUGUUUGCUAAAACUUACAUUUGAAUCCUUC